Molecule: ribosomal RNA, 408 nt
Filed under: uncultured bacterium
Lineage: Bacteria
Description: partial 16S ribosomal RNA
Rfam family: Bacterial small subunit ribosomal RNA
Source: RNAcentral
GACGAACGCUGGCGGCGUGCUUAACACAUGCAAGUCGAACGGAGUGGCGAACGGGUGAGUAACACGUGGGUGACCUGCCCUGCACUUCGGGAUAAGCCUGGGAAACUGGGUCUAAUACCGGAUAGUGUGGGAUGGGCCCGCGGCCUAUCAGCUUGUUGGUGGGGUAAUGGCCUACCAAGGCGGCGACGGGUAGCCGGCCUGAGAGGGUGGACGGCCACAGUGGGAAUGAGACACGGGCCAGACUGCGACGGGAGGCAGCAGUGGGGAAUAAUGAGGAAUGGGCGGAAGCGUGAUGCAGGGACGGCGAGUGGGGGAUGACGGCCUUCGGGUUGUAAACUACUUGCAACAUAGACGCGGUAGAUGGAGAAGAAGCACCGGCUAACUACGUGCCAGCAGCCGCGGUAAUUC